GAGGUAAAUAGCAUAGAAAAAAUUGGGAGCAACUCCCUUUUUGUCACACAAAUCACAAGUCCUUCAUAAGGAACCAAUGGGUGGGAGUUUGAAAGGGAUAAGGACUCUGAGUUUGAAUCAAAUUCAAAACUUCAAACAAAACCAACCCUACCUAUCCCUAAUGGGUGACAACUAGAGGCUUUGGCAUGGAAUAUUAAUUGCACAAACCAAUUUAUGCGAUGAAAUAAUGCAUGG
Molecule: long non-coding RNA, 234 nt
Filed under: Elaeis guineensis (African oil palm)
Lineage: Eukaryota; Viridiplantae; Streptophyta; Magnoliopsida; Arecales; Arecaceae
Description: long non-coding RNA (EGUI_LNC036532)
Source: RNAcentral